AAGUGUUGUCAUGUCACCCGCUGCUAUGGUAACUCUGUAGGCAUUAGUUCGACAUAAGCACAGUGAACAAACCGAUUAUGAAAGCCUUUACCCAAGUGAUUAGCCUAGUCGUGAUUAGCGUGGUGGUGAUUAUUAUUCCACCGUGCGGGGCUGCACUUGAACGAAUAAAGGCUUAGAAAACAAGCCGGAAUCGCAAGAGAACCCCCGCACCGUCAGGUCCGGGGGUUUUUUUAUGCCAAGAGAAAAGCAAAAUGAGGAGCAGAGAAUGAGUAACGGAAUGAAGUCCUGCAUUUCACGCAGUAA
Chania multitudinisentens RB-25 is the source of this 303-nucleotide regulatory RNA element. It matches the Rfam family "Soft rot Enterobacteriaceae Rev 39 5'UTR". From Rfam's summary of the family: From bacteria cultured under starvation conditions. NCBI's taxonomy places the organism in Bacteria, Pseudomonadati, Pseudomonadota, Gammaproteobacteria, Enterobacterales, Yersiniaceae. The record is from Rfam.